UUUGCAAAAGGAGCGUUCGGUCAUCUUCGCUCUAGUCGCCCCGCCUUCUCCCCUUGCGCCGGGCUCAAACCCCUAGCCCCCGACGAACCCGACCUAGGGUUUCCGCUUCCAGCAUGCCCCGCUGCUGACCUACCAACUUCCAUGGCGCUGGCAUCCUUGUCCCUGCCAUGGACACGGACGCACAACUCCGCUUUAAUUGCCGCAAGCGCUGCCUACCGGCUGACGGUCGCCUCGACGACCACUGGCGCGGCCAGCAGCGCAAGCGCCGCGGCGUCCGCGUCCUCGUUCCCGACUGCUUCCUCGUGCCCCCGCCGGAAGCCAAAUCCGCUGAUUUCGACAUGUGGGACUACAUCCGCAGCAUCCCGGACAUGUGGGACAACGGCCUGAGGCUGCUUAAGGACUGGGUCCGUGCGUCCAAGGAUGUGCCGCAGGAUCCGCCGGAUCUCACGUAUCUCACCAAGAACAACGAUGUGAAGCCAGGGCGCCUGGUGGGGAGUUGGAAAAUAGAGAACUCCAGGAAGGUCGCCUUGAAGGCGGUGAAACCGCGUUGGAAGGAUCUCCUCGAGGAGACGAGACAUAAUGACAAGAGGUUGCGCGAGAUCGGCGACGAGGUGGCCUUUCUGGAGAAGACGCUUGAGGAGCAGAGGAAGCUGGCUGAGCCGCCUAAGGAGGAUCUGUCUCAAUUCUUUGUACCUCUAACUGCUGAAGAUGAAAAGGAAGUUCAGGAUUGUUUGUAUGGUAAUGGUUCAAGUAGCAAAGUCCUGGUGCUGCAUGAACCGUCUAACAUUGAGGUUAGCAGGGAAAAAUUUCGGUGUUUGAGACCACAUGGUUGGUUAAAUGAUGAGGUCAUUAAUUUGUACCUUGAAUUGUUAAAGGAGAGGGGAAUAAGAGAACCAAAAAGGUUCUUGAAAUGCCAUUUCUUCAAUACAUUUUUUUAUAAGAAGAGGUCACCGGCGUGGAGGGUUUCAGCGGCGGCGCAUCGGUGGGGUCGUGCUCAGGCGCAGCCGUGUGCAGAGGAGGCCGGGGCGGCGGUCAAGGCGGCUGCGGAGGUCGUGGCCUCCCGCCGACCAGAGGCGGCCGACCAUGGGUGUGGAUGCGGCAGCAAGGGCCGGCCAUGGACGUGGAGGCGGCGGCGCCGCAGCAAUGCAAGCGGCGCGUGGAGGCGAGGGACGGCCAGUUCCUAGGGUGGCGGCCCCAUCUCAUCUGGUUCCGGCCGGAUCCGGAGUCCGACGGCGGUGUGAAGGCGGUACGGCGGCGAGCUUCUGGCGGCCGCGUGACAUGUACUUGAGAGAGAGAUACGAGGGAAGAGAGAGGGAGAGGAAGGAGAAGCAGGGCGGUGGUUUGGAACUCCGGCAGUCACUGGCGUCGGCCGGAGGUGGCAGGGUCGGGCGCGAGGGGGCGAUGCUCGGGAGGGCAGGGGAGGACAAAGCCCGGUCCACAUGAGGGAGGCCCACCCACAGGGGGUGAAGAGCAGAAAUAAAGAUCAAGGGGUUAUGUGAACCACCAACUUUUUUCAGGGUAGUAAAAUGAACUUUUUUCUAUACUGUGGAAAUAUCUAUUUUUAAGCUAAAUUAUACUUAUGUCACUUUUUCGUGACCAUUAUAGAUACAUCUUUGGUCAUUGAUAUUAGGAAGUUUGAAUAUACCAUGGUUGCCCUCCUGGGUUUCUUAAUUUGAACUUUUACUUGGGGCAUCUGUUUGGAAUACAUUAGAUUGCCCUCCUGAGUAGUCACAAUCAGGAAAGUUUCACUUGAUGCAUGCCAUGGACACACACAUUUUUGAAUGGAGAGUAGUUCUCUGUCAGCCUUAUUUGGUUCCUUUUGUUGUGUUGUUACUUGAUUUGAGACCUUUGAUUGGAAAUUAGACUAGAUAUCAUGCAUUUCGGCCUUGAUUUUCAUUUGGAUAAAAUUGAUUACCAUCUAAUUCAGCCCUGUUUAUUUUCUGAAUUAUUGCUCAGCUUGCUUGUGGAAAAACUGGAUAUGACUA
Molecule: RNA transcript, 1985 nt
Organism: Triticum aestivum (bread wheat)
Lineage: Eukaryota; Viridiplantae; Streptophyta; Magnoliopsida; Poales; Poaceae
Gene name: ubiquitin-like-specific protease ESD4
Exons: 6
Source: RefSeq, a predicted model, not a curated record